UUAACAGCUCUCUGUAUAAUAAUGACAGCUCUUUCAAGUGUCCGGUCUGAUGUAGUGUUGACUGAGUCCGGAGCAGGAGUUGCAAAGCCUGGAGGGUCCCAUAAACUGUCCUGUAAAGCCUCUGGAUUCACAUUCAGCAGCUACGACAUGAGCUGGGUUCGACAAACUCCUGGAAAGGGUCUGGAAUGGGUGGGCUCCAUUAGCAGCAGUGCUGCUGGUAGUAGUACAAGCUAUGCCCCGUCUGUCCAGGGAAGAUUCACCAUCUCCAGAGACGAUUCCAACAGCAUGGUGUAUUUACAAAUGAACAGCCUGAAGACCGAAGACUCUGCCGUGUAUUACUGUGCUGUAGACCCACAGUGAUGCAAUCAAACCAAGCAGUCGUACAAAAACCCCUCUAUUCAGGACUGCAGCACUGAUCACUCACAGCUUCUGCUUUCUUUUUCAUGGUUGAGUUGUGGCAGAUCAACCAUGAGAUUCAGACUGUUUGUCUGUUAGAGCACCAGACCACACUCCCCCUCCUUGAAAAAAAGUUGAUUGAUGCCCAGUUGAAUUGCCGGUGUCCUGUGGCAGUGCUUUUUUGAAACAUUACGGCUGUGUUUUCGUGGCUGAGGUUUCUGAGGGUGGCGC
Polyodon spathula (Mississippi paddlefish) is the source of this 627-nucleotide non-coding RNA. The record is from the annotation of a RefSeq genome assembly. Lineage: Eukaryota; Metazoa; Chordata; Actinopteri; Acipenseriformes; Polyodontidae.